Molecule: ribosomal RNA, 497 nt
Filed under: uncultured bacterium
Lineage: Bacteria
Description: partial 16S ribosomal RNA
Rfam family: Bacterial small subunit ribosomal RNA
Source: RNAcentral
GAUGAACGCUGGCGGCGUGCCUAAUACAUGCAAGUCGAGCGAACAGACGAGGAGCUUGCUCCUCUGACGUUAGCGGCGGACGGGUGAGUAACACGUGGAUAACCUACCUAUAAGACUGGGAUAACUUCGGGAAACCGGAGCUAAUACCGGAUAAUAUAUUGAACCGCAUGGUUCAAUAGUGAAGGACGGUUUUGCUGUCACUUAUAGAUGGAUCCGCGCCGCAUUAGCUAGUUGGUAAGGUAACGGCUUACCAAGGCGACGAUGCGUAGCCGACCUGAGAGGGUGAUCGGCCACACUGGAACUGAGACACGGUCCAGACUCCUACGGGAGGCAGCAGUAGGGAAUCUUCCGCAAUGGGCGAAAGCCUGACGGAGCAACGCCGCGUGAGUGAUGAAGGUCUUCGGAUCGUAAAACUCUGUUAUUAGGGAAGAACAAAUGUGUAAGUAACUACGCACGUCUUGACGGUACCUAAUCAGAAAGCCACGGCUAACUACGUG